RNAcentral lists this unclassified non-coding RNA (337 nucleotides) under soil metagenome. RNAcentral describes it as "partial contains 5.8S ribosomal RNA, internal transcribed spacer 2, and large subunit ribosomal RNA". The stretch from base 1 to 120 matches the Rfam family "5.8S ribosomal RNA", at positions 35 to 154 of the family's 154-position model. The record is from RNAcentral.
GAUGAAGAACGUAGCGAAAUGCGAUAAGUAAUGUGAAUUGCAGAAUUCAGUGAAUCAUCGAAUCUUUGAACGCACAUUGCGCCCGGCAGUACUCUGCCGGGCAUGCCUGUUCGAGCGUCAUUUCAACCCUCAAGCCCUGCUUGGUGUUGGGGUCCCACGGCCGCCGUGGGCCCUGAAAGGAAGUGGCGGGCUCGCUACAACUCCGAGCGUAGUAAUUCAUUAUCUCGCUUAGGCGUUGGGCGGCGCUCCUGCCGUUAAAGAACCAUCUUUAACUCAAGGUUGACCUCGGAUCAGGUAGGAAUACCCGCUGAACUUAAGCAUAUCAAUAAGCGGAGGA